RNAcentral lists this long non-coding RNA (1359 nucleotides) under Macaca mulatta (Rhesus monkey). RNAcentral's name for it is "lncRNA (ENSMMUG00000060907.1)". Lineage: Eukaryota; Metazoa; Chordata; Mammalia; Primates; Cercopithecidae. The record is from RNAcentral.
AUGAGCAAGCCAAGGCCCCAGGCUCAGAGCACUCACACGCCAGUGGAGGGGGCAGCCCAGCGUGGCCCAGCAGGGCACACCCCACCCCCAGCCCAGGCUCCACCCAGGACUGGUCUGGGCAGCCCUGCCGACGUAGUGGCUCCCUGCUCACCGAUGCCGUCAUCCAACCUUCCUACUUACACAUUAAAACACUGCAGCCAGAGAGGCCCCUGCUCACCGACACCGUCAUCCAACCUUCCUACUUACACAUUAAAACACUGCAGCCAGAGAGGCCCCUGUUCACUGACACCUUCAUCCAACCUUCCUACUUACACAUUAAAACACUGCACCCAGAGGCCCCUGCUCACCGACGCCGUCAUCCAACCUUCCUAUUCACACAUUAAAACACUGCAGCCAGAGAGGCCCCUGCUCACCGAUGCCGUCAUCCAACCUUCCUACUUACACAUUAAAACACUGCACCCAGAGAGGCCGCUGUUCACCGACGCCGUCAUCCAACCUUCCUACUUACACAUUAAAACACUGCAGCCAGAGAGGCCCCUGCUCACCGACACCGACACCUUCAUCCAACCUUCCUACUUACACAUUAAAACACUUCAGCCAAAGAGGCCCCGUUCACUGACGCCGUCAUCCAACCUUCCUAUUCACACAUUAAAACACUGCACCCAGAGAGGCCCCUGGUCACCGAUGCCGUCAUCCAACCUUCCUAUUCACACAUUAAAACACUGCACCCAGAGAGGCCCUGCCCGUGCCAUCCAACCCUAUUACACAUAAAACGCACAAGACCCUGUCACUGACCCAUACCUUCCUACUUACACAUUAAAACACUCAGCCAGAGAGGCGCGUAGGUCCACCUUCCUACACAUAAACAGCCAGAGGCCGGUCCCCAGCACAGCCCGGUCUCCAGCGGCCAAAUCAGCUUCCUCUCAAGCCAGCCUCUCCUUAGAAGCGGCUGAACAGCUUCAACCACUAGAGGGCACCAGCCAACCCUCGAUGGAUCCAAAUGUGCCCACAUCGCGAGGGAGCCUCAGCACCGGGUUGCGGCUCCUGAUCACAGAAUACGAAUACCCUUUAUCUUUUCUCAAAAUGAGCCCUGCAGCUGAGGCAAGCUUUACAUUGGCUGCACAGACUUUACUCUUUUAAGUGUUUUUUUUGUGAGUACAUAGCAGACGUAUGUAUUUAUGGGGGUAUGAGAUAUCUUGAUACAGGCAUAUAACUCAUAAUAAUCACAUCAGGGUAAAUGGGGUAUCCAUCCCUUCAAGGAUUCAUUCUUUCUCUGUGUGACAAACAAUCUAAUUAUACUCCUUCAGUUAUUUUUAAGUAUACAAUAAAUUAUCAUUGACUAUAGUCACCCUGUCAUGC